This 97-nucleotide non-coding RNA is filed under the name Salisediminibacterium selenitireducens. RNAcentral describes it as "Bacillus selenitireducens Glycine sequence". It matches the Rfam family "Glycine riboswitch aptamer". From Rfam's summary of the family: This family represents the bacterial glycine riboswitch. Glycine riboswitches usually consist of two metabolite-binding aptamers domains with similar structures in tandem. Lineage: Bacteria; Bacillati; Bacillota; Bacilli; Caryophanales; Bacillaceae. The record is from RNAcentral.
AUGAAAUCAGGGGGAGAGAACGGUUUUCGAAUGAGCCGUCGCCGAAGGAGCAAAUGCGAUGCAUGAAUCUCUCAGGCAAAAAGACUUCUGAUGGACG